Molecule: long non-coding RNA, 3531 nt
Filed under: Phoenix dactylifera (date palm)
Lineage: Eukaryota; Viridiplantae; Streptophyta; Magnoliopsida; Arecales; Arecaceae
Description: long non-coding RNA (PDAC_LNC002640)
Source: RNAcentral
UGACUAGGGGUGGCAAUCAGGUCGGGUCGGACGCGGGUUAGGUUGGAUGCAUGUCAAGUCAAAAAUGUAUCAACCCGAACCCGACCUGUUUAUUUAAACAUGUCAAAAAUUCAGAUACAAACCUAACUUGUAUUAAACAAGUAACCCAACUCGACCUGCAUAACUUGUUUACUAGGCAGGUUGAGUCAGGUUAAAUCGGUUAAACAAAUUAAGUAGGUUUUUUUAAUUAAAUGGACUUAAAUAGGUUAAAUAGGGUAAACAGGUCAGGUUAAACAUGAUAAAACGGGCUAACCAAGUUAAACAGGUCUUAAACAAGUUAGCUCAUGACCCAACUGAAUUAUUAAAUGGGUCGAUAGGGGUUAAAAUAGGUCAAAAAUCUAAAACUGAACCUGACCCGUUUAAUAAACGGAUCCAGACGGGUUGACCUAUUUAUGAGCCAAACCCAUUUAUGUCAAACCUAAACCUACUUAAAGCAAGUUAUUUACAAGUCAGGUCAUAAAUUGUCACCUCUAUCUAUGGCCCCUUUACCUUUUAUGCUAAGGUUGUGUCAUUAUGAUCCAUUUAGUCAUAUUUAAAGGCCAAUCAUUAUAUGUUGUAUCAGAUUUCAUUAAAAAAAGAAAAUUGUAAUGGCAGAUGACUCAAUAUUGAUAGACAUAGUAAAAAUAUUGACAUAAAAGAGUUUCCAUAACUUAAAAAUAUCCGUCAGCUAUAUUCACCCACAAGAUAGACUCAUUAUAAUGACCCAACAGCCCCCAUCCUGCCAUGUUCAGGGAUUCCUGCUCAUGUCAGUAAUGAAAUCAUACCACCAGCAGUGAAUAUGAUAUUAUUUAUGCGCAUAUACUCAACAAGCUUCUAUAAUGUUUUUUAACUGCACUCUAGAGGCACUUCUAGCAAGUUCAUUUCACACCACUAAUAGACAUUAGAUGGGCUACCAAGGAGUGGAACAUGAGCAGGUUACAUAUCUCGUGCACAUUCAUAAGCUACAUCUUUUUGUGCAAAUGAUUGAACCAAUAAUUUGCAUAUAUAUGACUGUGACCUAUGGAUGCCACUUCUCAAUAUACCCCUACUAGCGGUCUCUUGAAGAAGAAAAAAGCAUUCAUUGACAUAUCUUGUGCAAAUAUGUGCAAUUGUUAGUGAAACUAAAUAGAACAAAUAAGAUGUAACCUGGUUUAAUCUAUUGCUUAAAAUGUUUUUCACAAAUUGUAAUUUUCUCUCGCUUAUGGCAAAAACAGUAAUCACAAGCUCAAAAUUCAAAAAAGGAAGCAUUGAGCAUCCUCAAAAAAUCAAUCCACCAUAAAUACUUUAAUUGAGAAUAGAGACCUGAUCAAACUAGAUAUCAGUUAUUCAGCAAUUUUUGCCACAAUUUGGCAAGCUACUGCAUGAUAAAGAGAGGACUAGGUGUCGCAAGACAUGAACAUGUGUUCCAAGUCUUGACCUAUACAUCUGAGGCUGCAUUUGUAAUCCUGUUACAUUAACUUUUCCCUGCCAAAGGCAAAGUCCUCAAAACAAGGAAGCAUCAGAUCCAUUCUUGAUCCUUCCCUCUGAGUUCCCACUGCUCUUAUUCUUCUUCCUGACCUUUCUGCUUCGAAUAGGAGGCCCCUCUUAAUUUGGCAGGCUGUGGACUCAGCUACAUAUCUUCCAACUAUUUCAAACAACUUCGAGUCACUAUCCUCCAUUAAUAGUACUCCUACUGUUCCCCUAAUGUAUCGGUGUCUGAGCUAUCCUCAAAGAUUUGUCCCGCAUCCACAUUAAAAAUUGCCAUAUUCGUUGUGCCCAGCCAGUACCUAGCAUUGCACAGAACUAAGUUGAACUUAAUACAUUCCCUUUUAGGGAAAAAAAGAUAACAGUUAUCAUGUGAAUCUUCCCUUUCCACUACACAGUAUUAGGUGAUUGUGGAACCUUCAAAGGUGUAUCUUCACUUCAUCCAACCUGCUUAAAUCCUAAAUGAGUAAAUCAGUAUAUCCAUUCAUUCUUCUGAGCAUGCAAGUUUGUAUGUGUUACAUUCGCAAUCCUUAUUUCAUUCAAUAUAUAUAAAAAAAAACACUUUUCGGAUAGGCUUAAAGAUCCAUGAACUGCUGAAGUACCGUACAGUGAGAAAUUACCUCCUCAAAAGCCCAGUCAUCUUCUCGAUCAUUUACAUCACCACCCUUUGAAGACCAAAUUAAGCCUUCUAUCAUUCCAGUGAACUUGUUUAUCUUGUCUCCCAGUACAGCAAGUUCUCUCCACCCUCUCUGUCCUCUCAUCAUUUCAUCCAUUCUGAAACAAGUUAUGAAAUUUGAUGCGUAUUUAGUUUCAAACUAAUGACCAAGCACCGCAUGCAAAUGUAAAAAGGAAGAGACCAUUUAUAUCAGGCAUAAGAAAAAAAAUAAAUUAUGAAAGGAUAAAGAAAUAAAAUACCUUAAGAAAGCUUUCUGAACAGAAGUACCUAUAUCUCCAGCCGCAUAGGCUUCAUUCUUGAGAACUUGAGCGUGAAGGAAUUUUGCACAGAACUUAGCAACAACUUUUCCUGAAACAACAAAGUAUUACUCCAAAUCUGAUGAUACAAUUUUAUAUUGUGAUUUAAUCAAAAGAAAGUUGUAAGAUAGGUUCUAAAGCAUCAUAUUGCUGACGUUUCAUAACUUUAUUUAUGCCAUAGAGUAGGAUGAGAACACCCUAAAGAAAAUAUUAACUUUUUCCUGAUGCAAAUACACUCGAUCAAGAUUCUAAUGAGACACCCUUGUUUUAAAAUCUCAAAGGUUCGAGCAAAAGAUAUGAUCGCAUUAUCUCAUCUGAGUUUAAAAAUGCAGCUCCAGGUACUUGGAUGAGAUAGAGUGAAGUAUGCUUUCAUACAGAGUCAAAAAUUUGAAGAUCUAGUGUAUUUAUAGUAACAUUUUAAGAUAUUAAAGCAUUUGAUGUUGCCUGUGAUAUAUCUAUACCAUUUUACCCAUUUCAUUUCAAAUGUGAGGCAUGUUGACUAGAGAACUUUUUAUUAUUUUACAGAUUCAAACUUUUGGUGAUAAUGGUUGGUGGAAUGAAUUCAUAAAGCUAUCUGACCCCAGAUAACUGGCACAAGUCUUCAUGGUUGUGGUUACAGAACUUCAUACUCUUAGCCACUCACAACAUGCAAAGUAAUAAGUGUCAGGAAAAAUAUAUAGCCAGCUAACCUUGUAACCCUUGAAAUAUUUCCUAUAGCGAUGAGUACACAUGCCACAACUAAGUGCUCAUUCUGAAAGGGUACCUUACCUUUCAAACAAGUCCAGUAUGAGUAGUCCAAAGUACACAAGUUCACUCAGGAUAAUCAUUUGUGGUUGGAUAUUAAGUUAGACUUGUCGAAGCUUCAGAUAUGCUCAAAUAGUCACCUUACGGGAAACAGAAAUUUCUAGCCAGAACUGUAAAAAGACAUGGACCAUAUGGUACAAUUUCAUCUCUGCUAAGGAAUUCUUUCCAAAAUAAAGUUUAAAUACAUUGAGCUAUUAAGUUUCAUAUGAAGAGCACAACUAAAUAUCGAUUGCCAGCUUAUCAAACCAUUGUAAACUAAUAUUUUAACUAAUU